UUAUAACUUUAGUCCUAAAAGGACACUCUAUCUGUUUCUGUUUGGGCCCCAUUACUUAUGCUUCGUGAAAGCAUGAGUUGCCUCAUUCACUGUUAAUUCCCAAGCAUCUGGUUUAGAACAUAACCCAUAAUAGACACUCAAAUGAUGUGGAAUAAAAAUAUUUGAAAAUCAUAUAUCUGAUAAGGAUUAAUAUUCAGAAUAUAUGAAGAACUCCUUCAACUCAACAAUAAAACCGACAAUUUUAAAAAUGGGCAAAGGACAUAAAUAGAUAUUUCUCCAAAAAUAUAUAUAUAAAUGACUGAUAAAUCACCAGCACCAAAUGAAAGAUGCUCAACAUCACUAAUCUUUAAGGCAAUGCAAAUCAAAACCAUAAUGAAGUACCAUUUCACACUCAGAAGGAAGGCUAUUGUCAAAAACAAAAGAAAAUACAUGUUGGCAAGGACAUGGAGAAAUUGAAUUUGUAGUUCUUUUUUGAUGGAAAUUUAAAAUGGAGCAGCCACUGUAGAAAACAAUUGGUAGUUCCUCAAAAUGUUAAACAUAAUUAACACAUGAUUCAGCAAUUCUACCCCUAGAUAUACCCAAAAGAAUUGAAAGCAGAAUCUUAAACAGAUACUAAUACACCAAUGUUCAUAACAGCAGUACUCACAAUACCCUAAAGAAACAACCCAAAUUCUCAUCUAUGGAUAAAGAGAAAAACAAAAUGUAUUAUAUGUGUAUAGUGGGAUAUUAUUUAGCCUUUAAAAAGAAUGAAAUUCUGAAAACAUGUUACAAUGAGGAUGAACCUUAAAAACAUGCUAAGUGAAAUAAACUUGACAAGAAAAGACAAAUAUGUGAUUUCUCUCAUAUGAAGCAUCUAGAAUAGACAAAUUCAUAGAGAUCUAAAGUAGAAUGGGGUCACGACAGGCUGGACAGAAGGGAGAAUGGGAGUUAUUUAAUGGAUAUAGAGUUUCUGAUUAGGGUG
This 961-nucleotide long non-coding RNA is filed under the name Marmota monax (woodchuck). Lineage: Eukaryota; Metazoa; Chordata; Mammalia; Rodentia; Sciuridae. The record is from RNAcentral.